This is a long non-coding RNA of Leptinotarsa decemlineata (Colorado potato beetle), 474 nucleotides long. Lineage: Eukaryota; Metazoa; Arthropoda; Insecta; Coleoptera; Chrysomelidae. The record is from RefSeq and is a predicted model, not a curated record.
UUUGCCUUAAAGCAAAGAAUGUCUUGUUUAAUUUGUUGCAGACAUCUUUUAUUUGCAGAUCCCAUGAUAAGCUUUCAUCCAAUUUUUGUGGAGUUUAAUAUUAAUCUGUUUCGCUGACACCAGGAGCUAAAACUAUCGAUUAUGCAUUUUACCUUACUAAGCAGUACAUCAAUAUUUCCCCCUGUAACUGUGAUAGUGGUAUCAUCCGCAAACAUGGUAAGGUGGCAAUCUUUCAGAUAUUCUGACAAAUCAUUUGCAUACAACAAAAAAAGCAAUGGUCCAAGCACUGACCCCUGUGGCACUCCAAGCUUAACGUCGUUGCACCUUGAUCUAACAUUUUCACAUUUUACAGUCAUGGUACGCCCUUUGAGGUAAGAUUCAAUCCAUUGUAACAAGUUAUUCGGGAACCUAAGUUGGGUCAGUUUUGCAACUAGAAAUUCAGGAGACACUGUGUCAAACGCUUUUGUUAGAUCA